This 30-nucleotide non-coding RNA is filed under the name Mus musculus (house mouse). The record is from RNAcentral. Lineage: Eukaryota; Metazoa; Chordata; Mammalia; Rodentia; Muridae.
UGGAAGUUUGGUGUAAAGAAGCAACAUCUA